CCAAGUCAGCUGGGACAGAGAUGCCAACACAAAGGCCUAAUGGAAGGAAUAUGUUUGCUUCUAAUUUAGAAUAAGAAAAACUGCACGCACAGAUCAAACCCAUGGAAACUUCAACUGAGGGACUUUCAGAUCCACACUCUGGGCUGUGAGUGUCACAGGACCUAAACUGGGUUGAAGGAAGUGGCUCUCCGAUUACAGUAUUUCCAUCUGCAACAACGAGUAUUGUUUCUGAGGACCUGUCCGCCUCCCC
This is a long non-coding RNA of Fukomys damarensis (Damara mole-rat), 250 nucleotides long. RefSeq lists it as uncharacterized. The transcript is spliced from 3 exons. NCBI's taxonomy places the organism in Eukaryota, Metazoa, Chordata, Mammalia, Rodentia, Bathyergidae. The record is from RefSeq and is a predicted model, not a curated record.